GAUGAACGCUGGCGGCGUGCCUAACACAUGCAAGUCGAGCGAUUCUCUUCGGAGAAGAGCGGCGGACGGGUGAGUAACGCGUGGGUAACCUGCCCUGUACACACGGAUAACAUACCGAAAGGUAUGCUAAUACGAGAUAAUAUGCUUUUAUCGCAUGGUAGAAGUAUCAAAGCUUUUGCGGUACAGGAUGGACCCGCGUCUGAUUAGCUAGUUGGUAAGGUAACGGCUUACCAAGGCGACGAUCAGUAGCCGACCUGAGAGGGUGAUCGGCCACAUUGGAACUGAGACACGGUCCAAACUCCUACGGGAGGCAGCAGUGGGGAAUAUUGCACAAUGGGCGAAAGCCUGAUGCAGCAACGCCGCGUGAGCGAUGAAGGCCUGGGUCGUAAAGCUCUGUCCUCAAGGAAGAUAAUGACGGUACUUGAGGAGGAAGCCCCGGCUAACUACGUGCCAGCAGCCGCGGUAAU
This 467-nucleotide ribosomal RNA is filed under the name uncultured bacterium. Its description in RNAcentral is "bacterial SSU rRNA". It matches the Rfam family "Bacterial small subunit ribosomal RNA", at positions 28 to 524 of the family's 1533-position model. The record is from RNAcentral.